GAUCUCUCAUUUUACACCUAGGACACAGGUUUAGAGAGGUCCUCUGACUUGCUCACGGCUACGCAGCUAGUUCGGGACCUCAUUUUCUCUUUCCUUUUGGCAGAAGUUUAAUUCUGUCUGGUUGAAACUGUGGGGACCCUGAGGAAUUUGGCAGGAGCUGUUGACUCUACCUCCUGGAUCCUGCCAGAGCCACAGGAUGCUGUGAAUGUGCACGGCUUGGAACGUUCCCACCUUCCGUUAGGGGCUCAGAUCCAGAGGAGUGACUCACGCUUCUCAGAUGUAGGAACAGAAAUGUUGCGGCUGCACUGAAAGGUAUGCGGAAGGAAAUCAGCAGACGCCUGAACUUCAGCCAGGGGGACGAGCAAGGAUGACCGCACAGGCCCCAGUGCGGCAGGAGGGGGGAGCCCCUCCUCUGGCCUUCUGGAAGAGGCCGAGGCAUCCAGCUUGGGUUCAAAUCCCAACUCUGCCUCCCGGAUGCUGGGGGACAUUGGGCAAGUCACUUGGCUUGUCUGAUCCUUUGUUUUCUCAUCCUUUAAAUGAGGAUAAUAUCUCUCUUGCAAGUUGUUGUAAAGAUUGUGAUAUUUUAUAUAAACAUAAGUAUACAUACAUAUA
This is a long non-coding RNA of Felis catus (domestic cat), 612 nucleotides long. RefSeq lists it as uncharacterized. NCBI's taxonomy places the organism in Eukaryota, Metazoa, Chordata, Mammalia, Carnivora, Felidae. The transcript is spliced from 3 exons. The record is from RefSeq and is a predicted model, not a curated record.